AGAGUUUGAUCCUGGCUCAGAAUGAACGCUGGCGGCAGGCCUAAAACAUGCAAGUCGAACGAGCGUAGCAAUACGCUAGUGGCGCACGGGUGAGUAGCACGUGGGAAUAUGCCUUUUGGUACGGAACAGCUCUGGGAAACUGGAAUUAAUACCGUAUGGUCCCUUAGGGGUAAAGAUUUAUCGCCAAAAGAUUAGCCCGC
This 200-nucleotide ribosomal RNA is filed under the name uncultured bacterium. RNAcentral describes it as "partial 16S ribosomal RNA". It matches the Rfam family "Bacterial small subunit ribosomal RNA", at positions 8 to 234 of the family's 1533-position model. The record is from RNAcentral.